RNAcentral lists this ribosomal RNA (230 nucleotides) under uncultured fungus. Its description in RNAcentral is "partial 18S ribosomal RNA". It matches the Rfam family "Eukaryotic small subunit ribosomal RNA", at positions 40 to 274 of the family's 1831-position model. The record is from RNAcentral. Lineage: Eukaryota; Fungi.
AAGAUUAAGCCAUGCAUGUCUAAGUAUAAACAAAUUUAUACCGUGAAACUGCGAAUGGCUCAUUAAAUCAGUUAUAGUUUAUUUGAUAGUACAUUACUACUUGGAUAACCGUGGUAAUUCUAGAGCUAAUACAUGCUAAAAGUCUUGGCCUCCGGUCAAGAUGUAUUUAUUAGAUAAAACCAAUGUCUUUUUGACUCGUUGGUGAUUCAUAAUAACUUGUCGAAUCGCAU